GAGUUUGAUCGUGGCUCAGAUUGAACGCUGGCGGCAGGCCUAACACAUGCAAGUCGAGCGGAUGACGGGAGCUUGCUCCUUGAUUCAGCGGCGGACGGGUGAGUAAUGCCUAGGAAUCUGCCUGGUAGUGGGGGACAACGUUUCGAAAGGAACGCUAAUACCGCAUACGUCCUACGGGAGAAAGCAGGGGACCUUCGGGCCUUGCGCUAUCAGAUGAGCCUAGGUCGGAUUAGCUAGUUGGUGGGGUAAUGGCUCACCAAGGCGACGAUCCGUAACUGGUCUGAGAGGAUGAUCAGUCACACUGGAACUGAGACACGGUCCAGACUCCUACGGGAGGCAGCAGUGGGGAAUAUUGGACAAUGGGCGAAAGCCUGAUCCAGCCAUGCCGCGUGUGUGAAGAAGGUCUUCGGAUUGUAAAGCACUUUAAGUUGGGAGGAAGGGCAGUAAGUUAAUACCUUGCUGUUUUGACGUUACCGACAGAAUAAGCACCGGCUAACUCUGUGCCAGCCGCCGAC
Molecule: ribosomal RNA, 515 nt
Filed under: bacterium enrichment culture clone ALO1_GLFRUDD03F59W3
Lineage: Bacteria
Description: bacterial SSU rRNA
Rfam family: Bacterial small subunit ribosomal RNA
Source: RNAcentral